AGGGAAUCUUCCGCAAUGGACGAAAGUCUGACGGAGCAACGCCGCGUGAGUGAUGAAGGUUUUCGGAUCGUAAAGCUCUGUUGCCAGGGAAGAACAUCUUCUGGAGUAACUGCCAGGAGAGUGACGGUACCUGAGAAGAAAGCCCCGGCUAACUACGUGCCAGCAGCCGCGGUAAUACGUAGGGGGCAAGCGUUGUCCGGAAUUAUUGGGCGUAAAGCGCGCGCAGGCGGCUGUUUAAGUCUGGUGUUUAAUCCGGGGGCUCAACCCCGGGUCGCACUGGAAACUGGACGGCUUGAGUGCAGAAGAGGAGAGUGGAAUUCCACGUGUAGCGGUGAAAUGCGUAGAGAUGUGGAGGAACACCAGUGGCGAAGGCGGCUCUCUGGUCUGUAACUGACGCUGAGGCGCGAAAGCGUGGGGAGCAAAC
This 424-nucleotide ribosomal RNA is filed under the name uncultured bacterium. RNAcentral's name for it is "bacterial SSU rRNA". It matches the Rfam family "Bacterial small subunit ribosomal RNA", at positions 356 to 773 of the family's 1533-position model. The record is from RNAcentral.